CCUACGGGUGGCAGCAGUAGGGAAUUUUGCGCAAUGGGCGAAAGCCUGACGCAGCAACGCCGCGUGAUCGAGACGGCCUUCGGGGUGUUAAGCUCUGUCAGUGGGGACGAAAAUUGACGGUACCUACAGAGGAAGCACCGGCUAACUCCGUGCCAGCAGCCGCGGUAAUACGGGGGGUGCAAGCGUUGUCCGGAAUCACUGGGCGUAAAGAGUGCGUAGGCGGCACGUAAAGUCUGGUGUUAAAGGCAGAGGCUCAACUUCUGUACGGCACUGGAUACUUGCGAGCUAGAAUGCGGUAGAGGUAAGGGGAAUUCCUGGUGUAGCGGUGAAAUGCGUAGAGAGCAGGAGGAACAUCGGUGGCGAAGGCGGCUUACUGGACUGUAACUGACGUUGAGGCUCGAAAGCGUGGGGAGCAAACAGGAUUAGAUACCCGGGUAGUC
This 440-nucleotide ribosomal RNA is filed under the name uncultured bacterium. RNAcentral describes it as "partial 16S ribosomal RNA". It matches the Rfam family "Bacterial small subunit ribosomal RNA", at positions 338 to 795 of the family's 1533-position model. The record is from RNAcentral.